This 982-nucleotide long non-coding RNA is filed under the name Capsella grandiflora. RNAcentral's name for it is "long non-coding RNA (CGRA_LNC001212)". The record is from RNAcentral. Lineage: Eukaryota; Viridiplantae; Streptophyta; Magnoliopsida; Brassicales; Brassicaceae.
AUCAAAACCAUCUCUUUCUGAUUCCUCUUCCUUGUCUUUCCGAUCUGUUCUCAACCCACUUCAUCUCCCUAAUCACACUACCUCUCCUCCUUCGAGAUCUUCCUCUGUUUCACCAAUCCAAUCCUCUCUUCGUGAGCUCAGAGACCGUAUCGAUUCUGUCAAGAACACUCAGAAGAUCACCGAAGCUAUGAAGCUUGUCGCUGCUGCUAAAGUCAGGAGAGCUCAAGAAGCUGUCGUCAACGGACGACCUUUCUCUGAAACCCUAGUUGAAGUUCUUUACAACAUCAACGAACAGCUUCAGACCGAUGAUGUCGAUGUGCCCUUGACCAAAGUCAGACCGGUUAAGAAAGUGGCCCUCGUUGUCGUAACCGGAGAUCGUGGAUUGUGUGGUGGAUUCAACAAUUUCAUCAUUAAGAAAGCAGAGGCGAGAAUCAAAGAGCUUCAAGGUCUUGGUCUUGAUUACAUUGUCAUUAGCGUGGGCAAGAAGGGAAAUUCUUAUUUCCUCCGUCGUCCUUACAUCCCCGUCGACAAGUUCCUCGAAGCCGGAACUUUACCGACGGCCAAAGAAGCUCAAGCUGUGGCUGAUGAUGUCUUCUCUCUGUUUAUCAGUGAAGAAGUCGAUAAAGUCGAGCUCUUGUACACAAAGUUCGUGUCUUUGGUCAAAUCAGAACCCGUGAUCCACACGCUAUUGCCUCUAUCACCAAAAGGAGAGAUCUGUGACAUCAAUGGGAACUGUGUUGAUGCUGCGGAAGAUGAAUUGUUCAGGUUAACGACGAAAGAAGGGAAAUUGACUGUUGAAAGAGAGACCUUUAGGACACCAACAGCUGAUUUCUCUCCAAUCUUGCAAUUCGAGCAAGACCCUGUUCAGAUUCUUGAUGCUUUGUUGCCUCUGUAUCUCAACAGUCAGAUUCUUAGGGCGUUGCAGGAGUCAUUGGCUAGUGAGCUUGCAGCUAGAAUGAGUGCAAUGAGCAGUGCUUCGGAU